AAUACCAGCUCUCCGAGUGGUGUGGACGUUUAUUGGGCCUAAGCAUCCGUAGCUGGCUGAACAAGUCCCCUGUUAAACCCACCGAUUUAGUCGUUGGUCUGCGGGGGAUACUGCUCGGCUAGGGGACGAGAGAGGCAGACGGUAUUCCCGGGGUAGGGGUGAAAUCCUAUAAUCCCGGGAAGACCACCAGUGGC
Molecule: ribosomal RNA, 194 nt
Filed under: uncultured crenarchaeote
Lineage: Archaea; Thermoproteati; Thermoproteota
Description: partial 16S ribosomal RNA
Rfam family: Archaeal small subunit ribosomal RNA
Source: RNAcentral